UAGCGAAAGCGAAUCCUAAUGAGGGUGUUGUCAGUGGCAUGUUCUGGACCCGAAGCGGGGUGAUCUACCCAUGGCCAGUGUGAAGCAGCUGUAAGAGGUUGUGGAGGCGCGAACCCACUUAGGUUGAAAACUGAGGGGAUGAGCUGUGGGUAGGGGUGAAAGGCCAAUCAAACUCCGUGAUAGCUGGUUCUCCCCGAAAUGCAUUUAGGUGCAGCGUUGUGUGUUUCUUGCUGGAGGUAGAGCUACUGGUUGGUUGAGCGGGACUACAAUCUUAGCAAUGUCAGCCAAACUCCGAAUGCCGGUAAUGUUAAGCAUGGCAGUGAGACUGCGGGGGAUAAGCUCCGUUGGUCGAGAGGGAAACAGCCCAGAUCGCCGGUUAAGGCCCCUAAGGGUGUACUAAGUGGAAAAGGAUGUGGGAUCGCGAAGACAGCCAGGAGGUUGGCUUAGAAGCAGCCAUCCUUGAAAGAGUGCGUAAUAGCUCACUGGUCGAGUGGUUCUGCGCCGACAAUGUAGUGGGGCUCAAGUACACCGCCGAAGCCGCGGCAGUCAGCAAUUUUUUUGUUGGUUGGGUAGGGGAGCGUCGUGCACUGCUGUGAAGCACCUGGGUGACUUGAUGGUGUGGAGUGUGUGCGAGUGAGAAUGCAGGCAUGAGUAACGAAUGAAAAGUGGAAAACUUUUCCGCCGGAUGACUAAGGGUUCCUGGGUUAAGCUAAUCUUCCCAGGGUGAGUCGGGACCUAAGGCGAGGCCGACAGGCGUAGUCGAUGGAUAACCAGUUGAUAUUCUGGUACCCGUGUAUGUGCGCCCAGUGGUGAAUCAGUGGUACUAACCAUCCAUGGAUCUUCUGGUCAUGCUUUU
This 856-nucleotide ribosomal RNA is filed under the name Corynebacterium belfantii. RNAcentral describes it as "partial 23S ribosomal RNA". It matches the Rfam family "Bacterial large subunit ribosomal RNA", at positions 669 to 1521 of the family's 2925-position model. The record is from RNAcentral. Lineage: Bacteria; Bacillati; Actinomycetota; Actinomycetes; Mycobacteriales; Corynebacteriaceae.